RNAcentral lists this long non-coding RNA (481 nucleotides) under Nicotiana benthamiana. RNAcentral describes it as "long non-coding RNA (NBEN_LNC027395)". Lineage: Eukaryota; Viridiplantae; Streptophyta; Magnoliopsida; Solanales; Solanaceae. The record is from RNAcentral.
GCAUAUUAGUUGCAAUAAGAACACUAGAACCAUAAGCGUGGAAGAAACAAAAUAAAGUGCAUAUGUAUAAAAACAUGUUGUUUUUGAAGCUAUAAAUCAAAUAGAGGGCAUAUCAGAUAAGGAUGAGAUAAAAUAGAGCAGUAGUAUGUAGGUAAGUAGUAUGCAGAGAAGUGAGAAGUAGUAUGCCGACCAAAGCAAGUAGAAAUGUAUAGAGCAGUAGAACAGUAGAGCAGCCCAAAAUCACUCAGUCUUGGCUUUUAGCCGACUGAGUAAUCAGUAGUCAACAUGGAAAGUGAGAGAGGUUGUGUAGAAACAAGAGAGAACACUGAGUAUGUUUUGUGUGUAAGAGAGAGUUCAGAACAAUGAAAUUUUUUUCCCCUUUUUUCGUCCCUAUGCUAAAGAGAGGGCAAGGUAUUUAUAGUUUAUAAUAUAAGUGAAAAUAAGGUAAUACAUAUAGGCAAAUUAUAAAUAGAAAGAUCAC